Molecule: ribosomal RNA, 399 nt
Filed under: uncultured Funneliformis
Lineage: Eukaryota; Fungi; Glomeromycota; Glomeromycetes; Glomerales; Glomeraceae
Description: partial 28S ribosomal RNA
Source: RNAcentral
GUGAAAUUGUUGAAAGGGAAACGAUUGAAGUCAGUCGUACCAGCGGGAAAUCAACCUUUCGGGUGGGAUCUUGGAGCUUUUAAAGAGUUUCAAAGCCUUUGGGGUUUCAAGAUUUCUACUCUUUUGGUGUACUUUCUCGUAGGUAGGUCAACAUCGAUUUUGAACAUCAUAAAAAGAUCGGAGGAAUGUAGCUUCGAUCUCGUAUUGAAGUGUUAUAGCCUUUGGUAAAUGUGAUAUUUAAGAUCGAGGAUUGCAACGAAUAUCCUUUUGGGCUAUUCGUCUGAUCUCUGAUACGUGGCCUUGGUAUCGAAAGCGUGCUUACGGUAUUAAGGUAUUACGGUCAAAAGGUUAGAACGGAUUACAUUCGUUAAGGAUGUUGACGUAAUGGCUUUAAACGAC